UGAGUAACCUGCCCUUAACUCUGGGAUAAGCCUGGGAAACUGGGUCUAAUACCGGAUAUGACUCCUCAUCGCAUGGUGGGGGGUGAAAGCUUUAUUGUGGUUUUGGAUGGACUCGCGGCCUAUCAGCUUGUUGGUGAGGUAAUAGCUCACCAAGGCGAUGACGGGUAGCCGGCCUGAGAGGGUGACCGGCCACACUGGGACUGAGACACGGCCCAGACUCCUACGGGAGCAG
This 232-nucleotide ribosomal RNA is filed under the name uncultured bacterium. RNAcentral's name for it is "partial 16S ribosomal RNA". It matches the Rfam family "Bacterial small subunit ribosomal RNA", at positions 118 to 347 of the family's 1533-position model. The record is from RNAcentral.